Molecule: transfer RNA, 90 nt
Filed under: Stenotrophomonas sp. RIT309
Lineage: Bacteria; Pseudomonadati; Pseudomonadota; Gammaproteobacteria; Lysobacterales; Lysobacteraceae
Also listed under: 2 other names
Description: tRNA-Ser
Source: RNAcentral
CGGCAUCGAUCACCAGCAGGUGCGGGUGCUCGCCUUCGAGCGGCGGGAACUGGCCGAGGAACGCCGCGUUCGGGUUCUCGGCGCUGUCGU